RNAcentral lists this ribosomal RNA (231 nucleotides) under uncultured bacterium. RNAcentral's name for it is "partial 16S ribosomal RNA". It matches the Rfam family "Bacterial small subunit ribosomal RNA", at positions 15 to 229 of the family's 1533-position model. The record is from RNAcentral.
GAUCCUGGCUCAGGAUGAACGCUGGCGGCGUGCCUAACACAUGCAAGUCGAGCGGGAAAUACUUGAUUGAAACUUCGGUCGAUUGAUAGUAUGGAGAGCGGCGGACGGGUGAGUAACGCGUAGGCAACCUGCCUUAUGCAGAGGGAUAGCCAUUGGAAACGAUGAUUAAAACCUCAUAAUACCAAGAGUUCACAUGUACUUUUGGCCAAAGAUUUAUCGGCAUAAGAUGGG